Molecule: ribosomal RNA, 393 nt
Filed under: uncultured bacterium
Lineage: Bacteria
Description: partial 16S ribosomal RNA
Rfam family: Bacterial small subunit ribosomal RNA
Source: RNAcentral
UGGGGAAUAUUGCACAAUGGGCGAAAGCCUGAUGCAGCAACGCCGCGUGAGUGAUGAAGGUCUUCGGAUUGUAAAGCUCUGUCUUUUGGGACGAUAAUGACGGUACCAAAGGAGGAAGCCACGGCUAACUACGUGCCAGCAGCCGCGGUAAUACGUAGGUGGCGAGCGUUGUCCGGAUUUACUGGGCGUAAAGGGUGCGUAGGCGGAUGUUUAAGUGAGAUGUGAAAUACCCGGGCUUAACUUGGGUGCUGCAUUUCAAACUGGAUAUCUAGAGUGCAGGAGAGGAGAAUGGAAUUCCUAGUAUAGCGGUGAAAUGCGUAGAGAUUAGGAAGAACACCAGUGGCGAAGGCGAUUCUCUGGACUGUAACUGACGCUGAGGCACGAAAGCGUGGG